AGCAGCCGCGGUAAUUCCAGCUCCAAUAGCGUAUAUUAAAGUUGCUGCAGUUAAAAAGCUCGUAGUUGAAUUUCGGGACUAAUAUGUCGGUCGUGCCUCGGUACGUACUGGCUUAUUGGUUUCUCCUUUCUGAAGAACCAUGAUGUCAUUUAUUUGGUGUCGUGGGGAAUCAGGACUGUUACUUUGAAAAAUUAGAGUGUUUAAAGCAGGCUCACGCUUGAAUACAUUAGCAUGGAAUAAUGAAAUAGGACGUUUGAUUCUAUUUUGUUGGUUUCUAGGAUCGACGUAAUGAUUAAUAGGGAUAGUUGGGGGCAUUAGUAUUCAAUUGUCAGAGGUGAAAUUCUUGGAUUUUAUUGAAGACUAACUACUGCGAAAGCAUUUGCCAAGGAUGUUUUCAUUAAUCAAGAACGAAAGUUAAGGGGAUCGAAGACGAUCAGAUACCGUCGUAGUCUUAACCAUAAACUAUAGCCGACUAGGGAUCGGAUGAUGUUUAAUUUUUAAUGUACUCUA
This 510-nucleotide ribosomal RNA is filed under the name uncultured Glomeraceae. Its description in RNAcentral is "SSU rRNA". It matches the Rfam family "Eukaryotic small subunit ribosomal RNA", at positions 569 to 1083 of the family's 1831-position model. The record is from RNAcentral. Lineage: Eukaryota; Fungi; Glomeromycota; Glomeromycetes; Glomerales; Glomeraceae.